AGAGUGAACGCUGGCGGUAGGCCUAACACAUGCAAGUCGAACGGCAGCACAGUGGUAGCAAUACCAUGGGUGGCGAGUGGCGGACGGGUGAGGAAUACAUCGGAAUCUACCUUUUCGUGGGGGAUAACGUAGGGAAACUUACGCUAAUACCGCAUACGCCCUUUGGGGGAAAGCCGGGGAUCGCAAGACCUGGCGCGGAUAGAUGAGCCGAUGUCGGAUUAGCUAGUUGGUGAGGUAAUGGCUCACCAAGGCGACGAUCCGUAGCUGGUCUGAGAGGAUGAUCAGCCACACUGGAACUGAGACACGGUCCAGACUCCUA
RNAcentral lists this ribosomal RNA (319 nucleotides) under uncultured soil bacterium. RNAcentral describes it as "bacterial SSU rRNA". It matches the Rfam family "Bacterial small subunit ribosomal RNA", at positions 26 to 341 of the family's 1533-position model. The record is from RNAcentral.